Molecule: long non-coding RNA, 1001 nt
Organism: Lagenorhynchus albirostris (white-beaked dolphin)
Lineage: Eukaryota; Metazoa; Chordata; Mammalia; Artiodactyla; Delphinidae
Exons: 3
Source: RefSeq, a predicted model, not a curated record
CCGUCGCGCCUGUCGUCGCCCCCGCCGAGGCUUGGCCGGCGCCGCCGCCGCCCACCGCGCCGGUGCCCCCUCCGCCCCCGCCGUCCGCCAUGGCUGCACCCCGGGCCCGCGAAGGAGACUGAAUACGGAUUCCUCUCAAGGACAAAGGGCCUGGGUCGUGUAGAGGUGGCCGAGGGGCCGGAGAAGGAGGAGGCGGCGGCGGGGGAGAAGGAAAUGGUGGCGGCGAGGACGGCGGCAACGGCAGCUUCUGAGGCAGCAGAGGUGGCGGUAGAGGCGGCAGAAACCGCCCACCCCAUCCAUGGCGCUCUCCGGGUGACGACACCGCCGACCUCUGCAUUGUGGGGCAGGAGGUUUUCCGGCAGUCAUCUCCGGCUUUCUUAUAGGCAGAGGUCUGGCCGACGAAAACUACAUCUCCCGGCAGGCUCCGGACUCUCGUCUCCAGUUUGCGGGGCAGUAUGGGACUUGUAGGCUUAGGCCCUCGUGAUUGCUGCUGCCUGGGCUGGCCUUCCUUGCUCCGUUACUGCCCUCUCACUUUAAAUCAGCGCGUCCUCAAAGUGCCUGAUUAUAAGAAUCGUCUGCUAGGCUGAUUGAAAGUAUAGAUUCACAGAGGCAGAAAUGGAGGCACAGAAAGUUUGUUACCCUGAUCACGUAGCUAGAGGUGGAAGAGGAGGGUUUGAACAAAGGUUUCCUGAAUCCAAAUCUUGGCAAUGUUUAACCUAAGGUGUUCUACAUUCUGAGAACUAGCUGGCAUCAAAGUGCAGAGUGCCUUAUGAGAAUCAGAUGCUGGGGAACCUAGGUCUUCUGAUUUGUGCCCUUGACUCCAAAGCACCAGCCCUCCAGCUCAGGCAGCUGGGCGCCUGUGACAGGCUUGCUGGGCUGGGACCUGUGGAAGGAGGAGGAAGGGGUCCUGUCUGCUGUCUCCAAUGCUGUGUCCCCAAGGCUGGCACAGGCUGGCGCUUGACAUUGGGUUGGCUAAAAAGUUCAUUCGAUUUUAAGUAAAA